GGAAUAUUGCACAAUGGGCGAAAGCCUGAUGCAGCGACGCCGCGUGAGGGAUGACGGCCUUCGGGUUGUAAACCUCUUUCAGUAGGGAAGAAGCGAAAGUGACGGUACCUGCAGAAGAAGCGCCGGCUAACUACGUGCCAGCAGCCGCGGUAAUACGUAGGGCGCAAGCGUUAUCCGGAAUUAUUGGGCGUAAAGAGCUCGUAGGCGGUUUGUCGCGUCUGCCGUGAAAGUCCGAGGCUCAACUUCGGAUCUGCGGUGGGUACGGGCAGACUAGAGUGAUGUAGGGGAGACUGGAAUUCCUGGUGUAGCGGUGAAAUGCGCAGAUAUCAGGAGGAACACCGAUGGCGAAGGCAGGUCUCUGGGCAUCUACUGACGCUGAGGAGCGAAAGCAUGGGGAGCGAACAGGAUUAGAUACCCCAG
This 420-nucleotide ribosomal RNA is filed under the name uncultured Paeniglutamicibacter sp. RNAcentral describes it as "bacterial SSU rRNA". It matches the Rfam family "Bacterial small subunit ribosomal RNA", at positions 358 to 790 of the family's 1533-position model. Lineage: Bacteria; Bacillati; Actinomycetota; Actinomycetes; Micrococcales; Micrococcaceae. The record is from RNAcentral.